UAUCUGGUUGAUCCUGCCAGUAGUCAUAUGCUUGUCUCAAAGAUUAAGCCAUGCAUGUCUAAGUAUAAGCACUUGUACUGUGAAACUGCGAAUGGCUCAUUAAAUCAGUUAUCGUUUAUUUGAUUGUACCUUUACCACUUGGAUAACCGUGGUAAUUCUAGAGCUUGAUUGGGUGGGGAGAACUUUAGGAGUAAUCAGUCCAAAUAUUACCAUGUGAAUUAUCCUAACCUGAUCACUCAAUAAUUUAAUGAUUUUCAUUAAAGUAAGGAGAGUUCGCAUAUUUGUCAUUUUAUGAAAAAAAGGAUACAGUCUAAUUCU
RNAcentral lists this non-coding RNA (318 nucleotides) under Nematostella vectensis (starlet sea anemone). Its description in RNAcentral is "Eukaryotic small subunit ribosomal RNA". It matches the Rfam family "Eukaryotic small subunit ribosomal RNA", at positions 1 to 307 of the family's 1831-position model. The record is from Rfam by way of RNAcentral. Lineage: Eukaryota; Metazoa; Cnidaria; Anthozoa; Actiniaria; Edwardsiidae.